GGGUCCAGCGGCUGGAAGAG
Molecule: small nuclear RNA, 20 nt
Filed under: Arabidopsis thaliana (thale cress)
Lineage: Eukaryota; Viridiplantae; Streptophyta; Magnoliopsida; Brassicales; Brassicaceae
Description: snRNA_15741
Source: RNAcentral